RNAcentral lists this ribosomal RNA (429 nucleotides) under Gemmatimonadota bacterium. RNAcentral describes it as "Gemmatimonadetes bacterium partial 16S ribosomal RNA". It matches the Rfam family "Bacterial small subunit ribosomal RNA", at positions 355 to 776 of the family's 1533-position model. Lineage: Bacteria; Pseudomonadati; Gemmatimonadota. The record is from RNAcentral.
UAGGGAAUCUUCGGCAAUGGACGAAAGUCUGACCGAGCAACGCCGCGUGAGUGAAGAAGGUUUUCGGAUCGUAAAACUCUGUUGUUAGAGAAGAACAAGGACGUUAGUAACUGAACGUCACCUGACGGUAUCUAACCAGAAAGCCACGGCUAACUACGUGCCAGCAGCCGCGGUAAUACGUAGGUGGCAAGCGUUGUCCGGAUUUAUUGGGAGUAAAGGGAGCGCGGGCGGUUUCUUAAGUCUGAUGUGAAAGCCCCCGGCUCAACGGGGGAGGGUCAUUGGAAACUGGGAGACUUGAGUGCAGAGGAGGAGAGUGGAAUUCCGGGUGUGGCGGUGAAAUGCGUGGAUAUAGGGAGGAACACCGGUGGCGAAGGCGGCUCUCUGGUCUGUAACUGACGCGGGGGCUGGAAAGCGGGGGGAGCAAAGAGG